Molecule: ribosomal RNA, 472 nt
Filed under: uncultured bacterium
Lineage: Bacteria
Description: bacterial SSU rRNA
Rfam family: Bacterial small subunit ribosomal RNA
Source: RNAcentral
ACGACGCUGGCGGCGUGCUUAACACAUGCAAGUCGAGCGAUGAAGCUCCUUUGGGAGUGGAUUAGCGGCGGACGGGUGAGUAACACGUGGGUAACCUGCCUCAUAGAGGGGAAUAGCCUUUCGAAAGGAAGAUUAAUACCGCAUAAGAUUGUAGUACCGCAUGGUACAGCAAUUAAAGGAGUAAUCCGCUAUGAGAUGGACCCGCGUCGCAUUAGCUAGUUGGUGAGGUAACGGCUCACCAAGGCGACGAUGCGUAGCCGACCUGAGAGGGUGAUCGGCCACAUUGGGACUGAGACACGGCCCAGACUCCUACGGGAGGCAGCAGUGGGGAAUAUUGCACAAUGGGGGAAACCCUGAAUGCAGCAACGCCGCGUGAGUGAUGACGGCCUUCGGGUUGUAAAACUCUGUCUUUGGGGACGAUAAUGACGGUACCCAAGGAGGAAGCCACGGCUAACUACGUGCCAGCAGCUGC